AUGUGGUUAAAAAUGUUAGUCAAUGUAUGGAUGCAUUGCUAUUUACCAAAAUUACUAUUGAAUAAUUUAGAAGAUUCCUGCCCUGUAGAAUGCUACGUGUUAGUUUGUGGGCUUUGGGGAUUGAACCCAGAAACGUUCAGCCUUGAGUCAAGUGUCAGGUUGAGGUUAAUAAUGACUGUUUCGUCUGAUUCAGUAUUGGUCCUUAAUCACAAGUCCUGUCUACUUAUUUUUGGUGCUCACGAAGAUCGUAGCCAAUACACUUGUCUCUCUGUCUCUAGCCCUGCAGAACUAGCUGGCUCCUUCUCACCCUCUCCAUCUCCCCAUCUCAGUCACACCUUCCAAUCACUAAGCAGUGAAAGCCCUGCAGGACUAGCUGGCACACCAAGCUCACCCUCUCCAUCUCCCCAUCUCAGCCACACGCUCCAAUCUGGCACAACAGAGGACAGGCCAUUCUUACCACCCGAGGUCCUUCAGCAAAUUGUACAAGAGACGCUGAGACUGGACAUGGCGAUGCUUGGCGUGUUCAACAGGGUUUCAAACACAUUCCGAGAACUAAUCAAGCCUCUCCAUCCUUCAAUAUAUAAAUGACAGUUUGGCAGGGGACAUUAAGCUUAAUAAAGACAAUCUCAUAUACAUAACGGUUAGAAAGAUUUACAACAAUGCAGGCUGUGGCAGUGGCCUUGCGCUACGCCUCAAAGGCUUCUUAAAAAAGAAGAAUUGGCCAAGCACACCCCUGGUACUGAGGCACGUUGCAUAUGGCAGGUUUGUCAUAAAAGAUGUCUGCAUAGCAUAAUGUUCUUUUAUUACUCCUUUUUUGUUUUAUUUGGGACGUCAUUUUUGCAAUCCCUUUCACUUGUAAAUGUACAUACUACUGUAGUAAAUGUAUCUGCCCAGAAAUGCUGGUAUUUUAUUACUCCUUUCUUUUUUGUUUUUGUGACAAAUGCUAUACGAUGUAUAACAUACAUUUGUGCCUACGAUGUAUGUUGUAAGGUUAAUUGUUACAGAGCAAUUACUGUAUUUUGUCUUUAUUGAAAACAUUCAGUGGGAAAAGUAAGUGAACACUUGGAGUCAAAUGGCCCACUGUUUGAGCCUUCAUAGUGUCUGGUAACUGGAUUUGAACUGCAUAAGGUCCCAAUUGUUAUUUUAAUCUAUUCAUUAUUUAAUUUGGGCAUAUUCUUAAACAACUAUAUCAAACAUCUCACUUAUACCUAAUACCCUACCUAUACUAACCCAGAAGAUAAUGAGCAUGAGAUCAUGGAGCCUCCCUGUAAUGAUCGUGUUGCAUCAAGUUUGAUGCAAAGGUUGGGCCGAGAUCCGACACAUAAAUGUAAGCUAACAUUCUGUAGGCUUAGCUGGCUAACGUACCCGUAUUACGAGAUCGAAGAAGGGGGCACUAACGUCAGUUCUAUGCUGCCCAUACUACUAGAUCGACGAAGAAGAAGGGGGCGUUCCAGCCUGCGUAAACGAGAACGCCCACCACAGGAGAACGCCGGGGGGGCGUUCUAGUCUGCGUAAACGAGAACGCCCACCACACGGGAACGCCCAUUUGUGUCUGCAGUCGGAUGAUAUUGCAACUGGGGGGAAUGAGGACAUUUGUUCAGGUUUGCAGGUCAGGUCAAGGACAGGUUAACAAACCACUGUCUGGACCAGAGCUCUACUGGUAACAAACCACUGUCUGGACCAGAGCUCUACUGGUAACAAACCACUGUCUGGACCAGAGCUCUACUGGUAACAAACCACUGUCUGGACCGGAGCUCUACUGGUAACAAACCACUGUCUGGACCGGAGCUCUACUGGUAACAAACCACUGUCUGGACCAGAGCUCUACUGGUAACAAACCAAUGUCUGGAACAGAGCUCUACUGGUAACAAACCACUGUCUGGACCAGAGCUCUACUGGUAACAAACCACUGUCUGGACCGGAGCUCUACUGGUAACAAACCACUGUCUGGACCGGAGCUCUACUGGUAACAAACCACUGUCUGGACCGGAGCUCUACUGGUAACAAACCACUGUCUGGACCGGAGCUCUACUGGUAACAAACCACUGUCUGGACCGGAGCUCUACUGGUAACAAACCACUGUCUGGACCGGAGCUCUACUGGUAACAAACCACUGUCUGGACCGGAGCUCUACUGGUAACAAACCACUGUCUGGACCAGAGCUCUACUGGUAACAAACCACUGUCUGGACCGGAGCUCUACUGGUAACAAACCACUGUCUGGACCGGAGCUCUACUGGUAACAAACCACUGUCUGGACCGGAGCUCUACUGGUAACAAACCACUGUCUGGACCGGAGCUCUACUGGUAACAAACCACUGUCUGGACCGGAGCUCUACUGGUAACAAACCACUGUCUGGACCGGAGCUCUACUGGUAACAAACCACUGUCUGGACCAGAGCUCUACUGGUAACAAACCACUGUCUGGACCAGAGCUCUACUGGUAACAAACCACUGUCUGGACCAGAGCUCUGACUUGACUUAUGAUGCUAUAGUUAGAGUCAAACACUGCCUGGUGUAUGAAUGGGUUCCACGAUCACAGACAGUGCUAUUGUUGUCAAUUGUUUGAAGACAUGGUGAAUGUCUCAGCAGAAGUGAUGGUAAUUAUGCUCAUGCAUGUCACCUCUUUAUGUUAACCCAUGUGUGUGGUAUAGGGAUUUGUUUUAUUUGAUUAUGCAUGGCUCAUCUUACACAUGUAACACAUGUAGCAAAUUAUGUAUUUUUUAAAUCAGUUGAAUUAAUAAAUUCACAAGUUGAUUUUAAUCCCUGAGUACCUCACUGAUCUACAUUUGAUAUACCUGCAAUGUUUGGGAUAUAUAUUCUUGCCACCGAUUUGAAUGCCAUUUAAAUAGGUUAGUACAAGGCCAUGCACACACACACACACACACACACACACACACACACACACACACACACACACACACACACACACACACACACACACACACACACACACACACACACACACACACACACACACACGAUGCAAAGGAAUUGGCUCCUACAGUCAUACAUAUAAGUUAUUCAUUAGCUUAUCUUACAACUGGGCUCAAUAGUCAGUGAUAUUAGUUAAUCAGUUACUUAAGGUGAUCUUAUAACUGGGUCAAAUUGUUAGAGAUAUUAGUUAUUCAUUAACUUGCUGUAAUGGGGUUGUUGAACAGCUAAGGCCUUUAGUAAAGACUGGAACCACAAAGAGGGGACAUAAAGUGAAUAACAAAGUGGUUAAGUUAGUAAGCUUCUCCACACAGAGCAGCAGCUGGAGCACAAGUUGAAUCAGUCUCUAAAGCGCCACCCAGUGGACAAAGAUGGGACUAGUGAUGAUAGGACGCAUGAAAACCAGACUUACUUUAGACACACAAAUUGAGACUGUUGUGUGUGUGGUCAUAUCCUCCCUCCACACACUGAUGAAGAGGUGGUGGAGACUCCACUGUUGUGUGUGUGGUAAUAUCCUCCCUCCACACACUGAUGAAGAGGUGAUGGAGACUCCACUGUUGGGUGUUUGGUCAUAUCCUCCCUCCACACACUGAUGAAGAGGUGAUGGAGACUCCACUGUUGUGUGUGUGGUCAUAUCCUCCCUCCACACACUGAUGAAGAGGUGGUGGAGAAUCCACUGUUGUGUGUGUGGUAAUAUCCUCCCUCCACACACUGAUGAAGAGGUGAUGGAGACUCCACUGUUGUGUGUGUGGUCAUAUCCUCCCUCCACACACUGAUGAAGAGGUGGUGGAGACUCCACUGUUGUGUGUGUGGUAAUAUCCUCCCUCCACACACUGAUGAAGAGGUGGUGGAGACUCCACUGUGAUGUGUGUGGUAAUAUCCUCCCUCCACAUACUGAUGAAGAGGUGAUGGAGACUCCACUGUGAUGUGUGUGUAUAACAUCCUCCCUCCACACACUGAUGGUCAACCUGGAUGGUGGUUGUCCCGAGCUAUAUACUAUACAGACUAUAUAGAUAUUGUAGCAGGCCAGUGGGUGUGGGGUUUCCACGCUACCAAGUUGAGUAGACAAAUGACGCAACUCACAGAGCAGUUCCAAGCACAGAAUGGUUCAUUUACCUUGUAAAUGAAACCAGGGUGGGAAAAGGGUGUUAUAUGAUCCUGUCCAACACUUUCCACCUCUCACCCCCUCCCUCUCUCUCUCUCUCUCUCUCUCUCUCUCUCUCUCUCUCUCUCUCUCUCUCUCUCUGUCUCUCUCUCUCUCUCUCUCUCUCUCUCUCUCUCUCUCUCUCUCUCUCUCUAUCUCUGCUUCCAGGCGAUCACACAAAUCCUGCCUGUCCUUUCCUAGCCCUAGCUUCCCUAGCUCCAGCUCCUCUUCCAACUCCAACUUCAACUCCCCAGAUGUCUGUUUGCUAGCCCUCUUAACCCCCAGCACCACCUAUAGGGAGGAAGUCCAUAUAUGGCUUGGGGGUGGAGCCAGCAGGUUGCCAGACCUACCACUCCCCUCACUCCUCCCUGGCGUCUGCCACAAUAUAUAGUGUUUGUAUAUAUAUAUCAAAUAAAUGAUUGUGAUGUAAUUGUUCGAUUGGCCGAUUUCAUUUGACGCCUCAAAUAGUGACUUAAAUAGGCCUAUUUUCUUUACGGUAAAAAUGAAAAUGCCAAAAUUAUUUGUAUGCUUUAUUUUGCAUGCAAAUUGUUUCAUAAGGUUUUACCUAAAUAAACAAAAUACAGUUUAUUAUAGCUUUCCAUAGCUGCCUGACUGCUGUGCUGCUCAUCCCCAACAUCUUAAGUUCCAUUCAAGUUAUUUCAGAGUAAAAUGAAUACAAGUGAGACAGACCUUACACACGUACACACACGGAUCUGACUGGGGAUAGGAUAGGUUAAUUCACUUGAGGUGGUAAACAGGUUAUGUUUUUAAACUGUUUAUUCUCUUGCCAGAAGGACUAUCUAGACUAGGCUACUUUUAAAUAUUUGUAAUUUUAUUUAUUUUACCCAAAAAAUUAUAUUCGGGGCUAAUAAAAAUGGUUAAUGUAUUAAACAAUGUAGAUUGUUAAAUGCAUGAAUAGGCUUGAAUUUAGUAGUAACAUGGAUGUUUUAUAUUUUUACAAAAUGGAUAAUGUGAACAUUGCCGAAUAACAUUCAUCAUGUAUAUUAAAUGUAUGGCAGGAGUUUAGCUUGAC
This is a long non-coding RNA of Gadus morhua (Atlantic cod), 5110 nucleotides long. NCBI's taxonomy places the organism in Eukaryota, Metazoa, Chordata, Actinopteri, Gadiformes, Gadidae. The record is from Ensembl.